UGGGGAAUAUUGCACAAUGGGCGAAAGCCUGAUGCAGCAACGCCGCGUGAGUGAUGAAGGCCUUCGGGUUGUAAAGCUCUGUCUUUUGGGACGAUAAUGACGGUACCAAAGGAGGAAGCCACGGCUAACUACGUGCCAGCAGCCGCGGUAAUACGUAGGUGGCAAGCGUUGUCCGGAUUUACUGGGCGUAAAGGAUGCGUAGGCGGAUUUUUAAGUGAGAUGUGAAAUACCCGGGCUUAACUCGGGUGCUGCAUUUCAAACUGGGAAUCUAGGUGCGGGAGAGGAGAAUGGAAUUCCUAGUGUAGCGGUGAAAUGCGUAGAGAUUAGGAAGAACACCAGUGGCGAAGGCGAUUCUCUGGACCGUAACUGACGCUGAGGCAUG
This 382-nucleotide ribosomal RNA is filed under the name uncultured bacterium. RNAcentral describes it as "partial 16S ribosomal RNA". It matches the Rfam family "Bacterial small subunit ribosomal RNA", at positions 355 to 755 of the family's 1533-position model. The record is from RNAcentral.